This 380-nucleotide ribosomal RNA is filed under the name uncultured bacterium. RNAcentral describes it as "bacterial SSU rRNA". It matches the Rfam family "Bacterial small subunit ribosomal RNA", at positions 29 to 400 of the family's 1533-position model. The record is from RNAcentral.
AAUGAACGCUGGCGGCGCGCCUAAUACAUGCAAGUCGAGCGAGAAGACGUAGCAAUACGUUUGUAAAGCGGCGAACGGGUGAGGAAUACAUGGGUAACCUACCCUAGAGUGGGGAAUAACUAGCCGAAAGGUUAGCUAAUACCGCGUACGCUCCUUGGGCUUCGGUUCAGGGAGGAAAGCGAUACCGAGGGUAUCGCGCUCUUGGAUGGGCUCAUGUCCUAUCAGCUUGNGGUGAGGUAACGGCUCACCAAGGCUUCGACGGGUAGCUGGUCUGAGAGGACGAUCAGCCACACUGGCACUGCGACACGGGCCAGACUCCUACGGGAGGCAGCAGUAAGGAAUAUUGCGCAAUGGGUGAAAGCCUGACGCAGCGACGCCGC